Molecule: long non-coding RNA, 829 nt
Filed under: Malus domestica (apple)
Lineage: Eukaryota; Viridiplantae; Streptophyta; Magnoliopsida; Rosales; Rosaceae
Description: long non-coding RNA (MDOM_LNC009935)
Source: RNAcentral
AAAAUAUUGUUUCCCUACUUUUAUUUUCCCUUUCAGUAUCUGAAAUAUACCAACACAUUUUGAGAUAAUUUUUCCUAUUUGUACAAGUGAUUCUACCAAAUUACUUAUUUUGGGGUGUUGAGGUGAGGUGUUCAUGGUUCUGGUUUAUGAAUGAUAUUAAGAAGGGUUGCAUGACUUAUGGUGCGGGAUGACACAUAAAAGAAAAGGGGAAGUGGUUUCCUCAGACCCUUUUCUCCCAUGCACAACCCUGUUUAUUUUGGGCCUUUGGAUUGAAUAAAUCAUAGGAGAAUCAAGGACAAAAAUAAACAGGGGUGUCCGAAAAUCAUUUCGCAAGAAAAAGCUUAUACAGACAAAAACUAAUGUAACUGAAUAGGUGGUUGUAUUUCAAAUGCAAUUAAAUUUUUGCACAUAAACAAAGUUUAACAUACACAAUACUACUAAAUUAAGAAUAUGCUUCUACAUCUUGGAGCGAUCGAGCUUGUUUUGAAGCGGAAAAAACCAAAGAUGUUUACAAAAUAAUAAAAUAAAAUAUUCGAUUGUAAUGCGACAAGGCCAGACAUUCAUACUUGAAGGAAAAUGAAACCAUUUAUAAACUUUUUUGUUGGUAAGUUGUUGUCACAAUUGGAGUAUAAUACUGAUCUACACGAUCCUUCUAUAAGGUAGCAAACUCAUAUAUAAGCUUUUAUUUUUAAUACCUUGAUUUGUUAUGCUAGCCGACAUUCACCUCUCCCAGACCCUGCGUAAAGCGGGAGCCUUGUGCACUGGGUACGACCUUGAUUUGUUAUGCAAUGAGUUCACUCCAGUUCCAAUUUCUGCUGUCUUAAUUAUG